ACAGUAUGAUCACACCAGGGCAACAGCUAGUGACAGUGGCCUCGCCUUAUUUCAUUGGGUGGUAGAAACCUCCCACACAGCAUUUCGCAGGGUAGCUUCCAACAUCUCGUUCUUCCUGUGAACAUUUCGCAUCCCACAAGCCUCGUCUCUUGUGGGCACUUUUUGCAUUUGCAUUUCACGUCUAUGUGAACACCCUGCAUUUCAUGAUUCACGUGAUCUUGAACAUCCUUGCAUAUUGCUUAUUGACCGCGCUUGGUUCUGAUCUACUACCAGGCACUCGGUUCAACACCACAACUGCUUCUUCACUCAGAGCACUACAAGCAGUUUUAUCUCCCAUAAAUGAUUCAAACAAAUAUAUUGUAGUUUUGGGCUUCGGU
RNAcentral lists this unclassified non-coding RNA (377 nucleotides) under Yarrowia lipolytica. Lineage: Eukaryota; Fungi; Ascomycota; Dipodascomycetes; Dipodascales. The record is from RNAcentral.